GAUGAACGCUGGCGGCGUGCCUAAUACAUGCAAGUCGAACGAGGUGCUUUUGUAGCAAUACGAGAGUAUCCUAGUGGCGAACGGGUGAGUAACGCGUUGGUGACCUGCCCCAAAGUGUGGGAUAACAGUCCGAAAGGAUUGCUAAUACCGCAUGUGGUCGUUGGAUUUAGAAACCGAUGACUAAAGCAGUAAUGCGCUUUGGGAGGGACCUGCGUCCCAUCAGCUAGUUGGUGAGGUAACGGCCCACCAAGGCUACGACGGGUAGGGGGCCUGAGAGGGUGGCCCCCCACAAUGGAACUGAAACACGGUCCAUACACCUACGGGUGGCAG
Molecule: ribosomal RNA, 330 nt
Filed under: uncultured Chloroflexota bacterium
Lineage: Bacteria; Bacillati; Chloroflexota
Description: bacterial SSU rRNA
Rfam family: Bacterial small subunit ribosomal RNA
Source: RNAcentral